CGCGUGGGAAUGUACCCUUCUCUACGGAAUAGCCUCGGGAAACUGAGAGUAAUACCGUAUACGCCCUUCGGGGGAAAGAUUUAUCGGAGAAGGAUCAGCCCGCGUAAGAUUAGAUAGUUGGUGGGGUAAUGGCCUACCAAGUCUACGAUCUUUAGCUGGUUUUAGAGGAUGAUCAGCAACACUGGGACUGAGACACGGCCCAGACUCCUACGGGAGGCAGCAGUGGGGAAUCUUGGACAAUGGGCGCAAGCCUGAUCCAGCCAUGCCGCGUGUGUGAUGAAGGCCUUAGGGUCGUAAAGCACUUUCGCUAGAGAUGAUAAUGACAGUAUCUAGUAAAGAAGUCCCGGCUAACUCCGUGCCAGCAGCCGCGGUAAUACGGAGGGGACUAGCGUUGUUCGGAAUUACUGGGCGUAAAGCGUACGUAGGCGGAUCAGAAAGUAUGGGGUGAAAUCCCAGGGCUCAACCCUGGAACUGCCUCAUAAACUCCUGGUCUAGAGUUCGAGAGAGGUGAGUGGAAUUCCGAGUGUAGAGGUGAAAUUCGUAGAUAUUCGGAGGAACACCAGUGGCGAAGGCGGCUCACUGGCUCGAUACUGACGCUGAGGUACGAAAGUGUGGGGAGCAAACAGGAUUAGAUACCCUGGUAGUCCACACCGUAAACGAUGAAUGCCAGUCGUCGGGUAGCAUG
RNAcentral lists this ribosomal RNA (685 nucleotides) under uncultured Alphaproteobacteria bacterium. RNAcentral describes it as "bacterial SSU rRNA". It matches the Rfam family "Bacterial small subunit ribosomal RNA", at positions 114 to 834 of the family's 1533-position model. Lineage: Bacteria; Pseudomonadati; Pseudomonadota; Alphaproteobacteria. The record is from RNAcentral.